GGUUAGACGAAGAACCCGAGCAGGGAAAUAAAUAUAAAUCAAUUAAUGUAAGAUGUAAAAAGUAAAAAAUUAUUUCUUUCCUUAGGUGGAAUUUUUAUAAAGAAAAAAGUUUUCUUAUAGUAUCUUAAAGAAUUGAAAAAUAAGAGCUAAAAACCAGGAUUAGAUACCCUGCUAUUUCUUAAAAUAUUCUAGUAGGGGUAGUAAAAGUUGUCCUUCAAACCCAAAGGUUUUGGCGGCACUCUAACCAAAUAGAGGAGCUUGUGUUAUAAUCGAUAAUCCCCGUUUGAUCUUACCUUUACUAGUUAAGUUUGUAUACCUCCGUUGUCAGAUUACUCCAAAAGGAUGUUUUCCAGAAAAAUAAUUUCUCUACUUCAGGUCAAGGUGCAACUUAUGUAAAGGCAAUAAUGAGCUACAAUUCUUUUUAGAAUACGGAAGUCUGAAUGAAAUUUCAGUCGAAGGUGGAUUUAUUAGUAAGUUGAUUUUAGGAAAAUUAACUGAACAUGGCAAUAGCGUGUGUACAUAUCGCCCGUCACUCUCCUUCUAAGAGGAGAUAAGUCGUAACAAA
This 565-nucleotide ribosomal RNA is filed under the name Daphnia wardi. RNAcentral describes it as "partial 12S ribosomal RNA". Lineage: Eukaryota; Metazoa; Arthropoda; Branchiopoda; Diplostraca; Daphniidae. The record is from RNAcentral.